Molecule: long non-coding RNA, 407 nt
Organism: Phyllostomus discolor (pale spear-nosed bat)
Lineage: Eukaryota; Metazoa; Chordata; Mammalia; Chiroptera; Phyllostomidae
Exons: 3
Source: RefSeq, a predicted model, not a curated record
CUGAACUCAGAGCAACAUUGGCCAUGCAGACUAUCCCCUGUGUGUCCUGCUGGUUACUCUGGCCCUUGGCUGCUAUGAGGCAAAUGCAAAAGUCUGUCCAGUUAGGAUGGAUGAAUUUAGAAGCUUCUAUUUGAUUCUGCAGAGCUCUACAAUAUCCAUUUUCUGAGAUUUGCUCCACCUAGAGAAGCUGCCAAGGCCAUGGUCAAGUGAAGCAAUGUGUAGAUUGUAUGCCCAUACAGGGAAGACAGAAAAUUUACAGUCUUCUAAAAGGCAUAUGAGGUCCAUAUGUAACAAGUAGAUAUUAAAAAUCUUACACCUGAGAGCCUCUGUCAUUCAAGGAUGGCCUAAUCACCCCCAGAAUAUGUUAAGGUUUCAAUGUCUUGCUUCAAUAAAGUACUUGCCCUGCA